RNAcentral lists this ribosomal RNA (468 nucleotides) under uncultured bacterium. RNAcentral describes it as "partial 16S ribosomal RNA". It matches the Rfam family "Bacterial small subunit ribosomal RNA", at positions 28 to 507 of the family's 1533-position model. The record is from RNAcentral.
GACGAACGCUGGCGGCGUGCUUAACACAUGCAAGUCGAACGGAAAGGCCCUGCUUUCGUGGGGUGCUCGAGUGGCGAACGGGUGAGUAACACGUGAGUAACCUGCCCUUCACUUUGGGAUAACUUCAGGAAACUGGGCCUAAUACCGGAUCGGAGCUCCUGUAGCAUGGUGGGCGUUGGAAAGUUUCGGCGGUUGGGGAUGGACUCGCGGCUUAUCAGCUUGUUGGUGGGGUAGUGGCUUACCAAGGCUUUGACCGGUAGCCGGCCUGAGAGGGUGACCGGGCACAAUGGGACUGAGAUACGGCGCAGACUCCUACGGGAGGCAGAAGUGGGGAAUAUUGCACAGUGGGCGGAAGCCUGAUGAAGCGACGCCGCGGGCGGGAUGACGGCCUGCGGGUUGUAAACCGCUUUCGCCUGUGACGAAGCGUGAGUGACGGUAAUGGGUAAAGAAGCACCGGCUAACUACGUG